This 251-nucleotide ribosomal RNA is filed under the name uncultured prokaryote. RNAcentral describes it as "partial 16S rRNA". It matches the Rfam family "Bacterial small subunit ribosomal RNA", at positions 525 to 775 of the family's 1533-position model. The record is from RNAcentral.
ACAGAGGUCCCAAGCGUUGUUCGGAUUCACUGGGCGUAAAGGGUGCGUAGGUGGCGGGGUAAGUCGGAUGUGAAAUCUCGGAGCUCAACUCCGAAAUGGCAUUGGAAACUACCCUGCUCGAGGAUUGGAGGGGGGACUGGAAUACUUGGUGGCGCAAUGAAUGGCGUAGAUAUUAACUGGAAGACCAGUGGGGAAGGGGAGCCCAUGGGCAUCUCCCGAAACUGAGGCUCGACAGCUAGGUGAUCAAACAG